GGUCAACUUAUGCGACAAGGAUCAUUUGGCUCUGUGUAUGAAGCCAUCUCAGAAGAUGGGGACUUCUUUGCUGUCAAGGAAGUUUCACUUCUUAAUCAGGGAAGUCAGGCACAAGAAUGCAUACAACAAGUUGAAGAGGAGAUUGCACUACUUAG
Non-coding RNA from Camelina sativa (false flax), 155 nucleotides. NCBI's taxonomy places the organism in Eukaryota, Viridiplantae, Streptophyta, Magnoliopsida, Brassicales, Brassicaceae. The record is from RefSeq and is a predicted model, not a curated record.